This 267-nucleotide unclassified non-coding RNA is filed under the name plant metagenome. RNAcentral describes it as "partial contains small subunit ribosomal RNA, internal transcribed spacer 1, and 5.8S ribosomal RNA". The record is from RNAcentral.
GUAGGUGAACCUGCGGAAGGAUCAUUAAUGAGUUGUCAUGGGGUUCGAUGCUGGCAGCCAGUUUUUGGAUGCAUGUGCUUGCCCUAACAAUCAUCUUCUUCCAAACACCUGUGCACAUUUUUGAGGGAGUCUUGAGUUGGUUGCCGCUCUUGGGUGAUUUUCUCACAUUCCCUUAAAUCAUUAUACGCUAUUAACAAUGUUGAACGUGCUCUGUGCCGCAAGGCCAUUAAUAUAAUACAACUUUUAACAACGGAUCUCUUGGCUCUC